This is a long non-coding RNA of Mizuhopecten yessoensis (Yesso scallop), 849 nucleotides long. RefSeq lists it as uncharacterized. NCBI's taxonomy places the organism in Eukaryota, Metazoa, Mollusca, Bivalvia, Pectinida, Pectinidae. The transcript is spliced from 4 exons. The record is from RefSeq and is a predicted model, not a curated record.
ACCGUACCCAGACUGAAUGGGAAGAUGGCUUCACAUUUAGGAUGUUCCUGUUCCAGUUUGUCAACUACUAUGCCUCCAUCUUCUAUAUUGCAUUCUUCAAGGGCAAAAAACUGAUGGUGUGGUUUAGUCUCGGUCGGUAAGGAAGGACCCCAACGAGGAGAAAGUGUAUUUGAGGUGGGAACAGGACUUUCAUCUGGCCAACAUACCCAACCUUGGACUAUAUGAUGAGGAUCUUGAAAUGGCAUAUGGUUCGGGAUUCUGAGAGGCAUAUCAGCCAUAGCAGUAAUAUCUAACAACUUGAUUGUAUUUGCAGCCUGGUUGGUGAUGUACCUCGUCCGAGACGUGUCAGGAUAUGUGAAGCUUCAGAUGCUGAGGGGAAAUUUCUACGCCAAGGAAGCACUUUAUACAGUGGAGACAGUAACGAAAGCAAGACAUGGCGAUGAAAAUGUUACCAACGCCACUAGGAUGCAAUUCUGAUGACAACUACAAGGUUUAUCUCCUAGACAAAUGAUAACUUGAAAAAAGUUUGAUACAAAAAGAGAGGUGUUUGUCCCUGAUUACUCACAUCAGAGGCAACUGUUAAAUUGAGAUUUUUAGAAUAAUCUGUGGUUAUCAUAAAUACAAAUUUUUGAUUUGUUUUGCCUGAAUUUCAACCUUACAGCAAAUUAUACAUUUAAGUGUGUUUUUCUACACAGCCUUAAAGGGAUAUUUCUCUUCUUGAAUCACGUUUACGACAGACCAAGUAGCUUUCUUUUUUUCACUUCAGUGUAGCUAUAAACCCAUUAUUACCCAGUACUUUCAGGUUGUAGAUAUAAUAUUAAGUAGUAAAACCAAAAUUUUGUUAUCAAA